AUGACAUAUGGUUCUGAGGUGUGCUUACAAGCUACUCAAACCAAGACUUUUCACAAAAUGCAGCCAAAAUAUAGAUCUGAUAACAUUAGAAAUCACCAUGCACUGAAACAAAUACGUAUUCAUGCGACAAAAAGGAGGUUCUCUUAUGAUUCCGUGGUGAAAACUGACACGGUCCAGAAGCACACAAGGAGUUCAAUAGCAGAUUCACAUCAGAUCAUUAUCAACCAUACCAGCAGAAUCAAGAAAUGUGCGGUGGCAUUGAACAACGGUACUGUAGCACCUUCAGUUAAGGCUUCUCACGGCAGAUAUAAAGGGUGGGGUUCAACGAACUUUGGUGGCAAUGUUAUCAAACAAAGCUCGCGCAAAAUAGACACGAACUCCCUUAUUUGA
This 390-nucleotide ribosomal RNA is filed under the name Triticum aestivum (bread wheat). Its description in RNAcentral is "partial small subunit ribosomal RNA". The record is from RNAcentral. Lineage: Eukaryota; Viridiplantae; Streptophyta; Magnoliopsida; Poales; Poaceae.